RNAcentral lists this ribosomal RNA (426 nucleotides) under uncultured marine bacterium. RNAcentral's name for it is "bacterial SSU rRNA". It matches the Rfam family "Bacterial small subunit ribosomal RNA", at positions 360 to 804 of the family's 1533-position model. The record is from RNAcentral.
AAUCUUGCACAAUGGGCGAAAGCCUGAUGCAGCGACGCCGCGUGGGGGAUGAAGGCCCUAGGGUCGUAAACCCCUUUCAGGAGGGACGAAAAUGACGGUACCUCCAGAAGAAGGCCCGGCCAACUACGUGCCAGCAGCCGCGGUAAGACGUAGGGGCCAAGCGUUGUCCGGAAUUAUUGGGCGUAAAGAGCUCGUAGGCGGUUGCGUAAGUCGGAUGUGAAAACUCAGGGCUCAACCCUGAGACGCCAUCCGAUACUGCGCUGACUUGAAUCCAGUAGGGGAGUGUAGAAUUCCUGGUGUAGCGGUAAAAUGCGCAGAUAUCAGGAGGAAUUCCGAUAGCGAAGGCAGCACUCUGGGCCGGUACUGACGUGAGGAGCGCAAGCGUGGGGAGCAAACAGGAUUAGAUACCCUGUAGUCCACGCCGUA